CUACGGGACGCUCCAGUGGGGAAUAUUGCACAAUGGGCGAAAGCCUGAUGCAGCAACGCCGCGUGAGGGACGACGGCCUUCGGGUUGUAAACCUCUUUUAGCAGGGAAGAAGCGAAAGUGACGGUACCUGCAGAAAAAGCACCGGCUAACUACGUGCCAGCAGCCGCGGGAAUACGUAGGGUGCAAGCGUUGUCCGGGAUUAUUGGGCGUAAAGAGCUCGUAGGCGGUUUGUCGCGUCUGCUGUGAAAAUCCGGGGCUCAACCUCGGACCUGCAGUGGGUACGGGCAAACUAGAGUGCGGUAGGGGAGAUUGGAAUUCCUGGUGUAGCGGUGGAAUGCGCAGAUAUCAGGAGGAACACCAAUGGCGAAGGCAGAUCUCUGGGCCGUAACUGACGCUGAGGAGCGAAAGCGUGGGGAGCGAACAGGAUUAGAUACCCGAGUAGUC
RNAcentral lists this ribosomal RNA (444 nucleotides) under uncultured bacterium. Its description in RNAcentral is "partial 16S ribosomal RNA". It matches the Rfam family "Bacterial small subunit ribosomal RNA", at positions 339 to 795 of the family's 1533-position model. The record is from RNAcentral.